This 84-nucleotide transfer RNA is filed under the name uncultured phage_MedDCM-OCT-S28-C10. It matches the Rfam family "tRNA". From Rfam's summary of the family: Transfer RNA (tRNA) molecules are approximately 80 nucleotides in length. Their secondary structure includes four short double-helical elements and three loops (D, anti-codon, and T loops). Further hydrogen bonds mediate the characteristic L-shaped molecular structure. tRNAs have two regions of fundamental functional importance: the anti-codon, which is responsible for specific mRNA codon recognition, and the 3' end, to which the tRNAs corresponding amino acid is attached (by aminoacyl-tRNA synthetases). tRNAs cope with the degeneracy of the genetic code in two manners: having more than one tRNA (with a specific anti-codon) for a particular amino acid; and 'wobble' base-pairing, i.e. permitting non-standard base-pairing at the 3rd anti-codon position. The record is from Rfam by way of RNAcentral. Lineage: Duplodnaviria; Heunggongvirae; Uroviricota; Caudoviricetes; Autographivirales.
GCUCGGGUGAUGGAAUUGGUAGACAUACGGGACUUAAAAUCCCGGGACCGUUAGGUCGUGAGGGUUCGAGUCCCUCCCUGAGCA